UUAUGCCAGAUAAAAUUUUGGUCACUGUCAUCAAGUUGGCCAGACCUUGUUAAAGUUAAACAACAACUAGGCAGAAGACUUCUUGUUUUAAAUUUAAGAGUACAGAAAAUCAGUCUAAAAAAAUCAAGCUCACGUCCAUGCUAGUUCCUGAUACAUCUCACUACUUUCAUCAUGACCACUGCAACUCUCUGUGCCCAGAGCAGCCGGCAUUACCAAGUCCAAGUUCUAGAGUCUGCAAGUGCAUCCCUCUGUUCUACCACACAAUCAUGACAGGAUUGGUGCAAGAGCCUUCUCUUCCGUUGAUGCCACCAUUUGAAACAGACAUCCUACAUUUUGGUGCCUCGUCAACUUUCCAUCUACUUCCAAAUCUCAUCUGCAAAUGUCUCUUGCAAUUGUUUCUUAAAUCUGCUUUCCAAUUGCUAUUAAUUUUACAUUUUACUUUACCACCACUAGUUAAUGCUUAAAUCAUUUUCUAGAUCAUAUUAAAAAUUUUGUAGAAACUAGAAAUUACACUAGAAUCAAUGAAGUUAGAAAUAAAAAGGGCCAACAGAAAAGUUGGGUGCAUACGACCCCAGAAGCUGGCUACAGUACUCUGACAGAGGCUGAAUUGGAUAUUAAAGCAAUGCUACUGAAUGGAAAACAUACAGGGGGAAAAUGCAGUCGGCAUGCACUUUCUAUUACAGUGAGCAGUUGUCACUGUGCAGUACCAACCUCUAUUACAAAGUGAGGGCCUCUGAGUGGACUGACUUAUUUCAAUUCACUUCUUUAAAAUGCAUUGUUAUUUGAA
Molecule: long non-coding RNA, 787 nt
Organism: Mauremys mutica (yellowpond turtle)
Lineage: Eukaryota; Metazoa; Chordata; Testudines; Geoemydidae
Exons: 3
Source: RefSeq, a predicted model, not a curated record